This 431-nucleotide ribosomal RNA is filed under the name uncultured bacterium. Its description in RNAcentral is "bacterial SSU rRNA". It matches the Rfam family "Bacterial small subunit ribosomal RNA", at positions 27 to 458 of the family's 1533-position model. The record is from RNAcentral.
GAUUGAACGCUGGCGGAAUGCUUUACACAUGCAAGUCGAACGGCAGCACGAGAGCUUGCUCUUGGUGGCGAGUGGCGAACGGGUGAGUAAUAUAUCGGAACGUAUCCAAUAAUGGGGGAUAACUAAUCGAAAGGUUGGCUAAUACCGCAUACGCCCUACGGGGGAAAGCAGGGGAUCUUCGGACCUUGCGUUAAUGGAGCGGCUGAUAUCUGAUUAGCUAGUAGGUGAGGUAAAGGCUCACCUAGGCUUCGAUCAGUAGCUAGUCUGAGAGGACGACCAGCCACACUGGAACUGAGACACGGUCCAGACUCCUACGGGAGGCAGCAGUGGGGAAUUUUGGACAAUGGGGGCAACCCCGAUCCAGCCAUUCCGCGUGAGUGAAGAAGGCCUUCGGGUUGUAAAGCUCUUUCGCAAGGGAAGAAACGUUACGA